Sinocyclocheilus anshuiensis is the source of this 132-nucleotide long non-coding RNA. RefSeq lists it as uncharacterized. The record is from RefSeq and is a predicted model, not a curated record. The transcript is spliced from 3 exons. Lineage: Eukaryota; Metazoa; Chordata; Actinopteri; Cypriniformes; Cyprinidae.
CAGUUUGGAGGGAAAACAACACAAACAUCACCAUCCAUAACUCUGUCUCUCCAGGGCUUUAUAUGUUGUCAGGCAAUCAAGCGUUUAUUUGGGCCACUCAAUCUGCAGUUACGUCACAUCACAUACUCCAGC